CUCCUCUCCUCCAGUGGGUCAUGCCAAGAACCAGGCUGUGUCUCAGAGCUCAGGAAAGUACCUCUGCUUUCAGGACGCUGAUGAUGUGAUGAUGCCUCAGCGAAUACAUCUCCAAUACGAGGCCUGCCUCUUCAACUCUACCUCUUUGAUUGGCUGUCAGGUCCGCAGGGAUCCAGAGGGAUCUACUGAGCGCUACACACGCUGGAUCAACAACAUCAGCCAGGAUCAACUCAGCACCCAGGUGUACACCUCUCACGGCCCUACGGUCAUCAUGCCAACCUGGUUCUGCUCCAGGGAUUGGUUCCAGCGGGUCGGAACCUUUGACGAGGGCGGCAAGGGAGUUCCAGAGGAUCUGUUGUGGUUCUAUCAGAGUGUUGGUCAGGGAGGAGGUGUGGUCAGAGUGGACCAGUGUUUACUAGUCUACCGCUACCAUCAACAAGCUGCUACACACUCUGUCCUGGAGGAAACCAUUUGGAACCUCCGUGUGGCCUUCCUCCAGGAGAGAGUUAUCAACCAAUGGGAAUCCUUCACCAUAUGGAAUGCUGGGAAACAGGGCCGGAAACUAUACCGCUGCCUCAGUUCCUUCAAUCAGAAGAAGGUUCGAGCGUUCUGCGACGUGGACGAGAAUAAGAUCAAGAAAGGCUUCUACACCUAUGAGGAGUCCAAGGAGAGGCCCAAGCCUCAGAUCCCUGUACUGCACUACAGAGAUGUGUCUCCACCCUACAUCAUCUGUGUCAAGCUGGACAUGACCGGAGGAGUGUUUGAAGAAAACCUGAAGUCUCUCCAUCUGGAAGAAGGAGUUGACUAUUACCACUUCAACUAACACUCUGAGAGAUGGAGAGAUGGAGAGGAGAGGAGUUGACUACUACCACUUCAACUAACACUCUGGGAUAUGGAGAGAUGGAGAGGAGAGGAGUUGACUACUACCACUUCAACUAACACUCUGAGAGAUGGAGAGAUGGAGAGGAGAGGAGUUGACUACUACCACUUCAACUAACACUCUGAGAGAUGGAGAGAUGGAGAGGAGAGGAGUUGACUACUACCACUUCAACUAACACUCUGGGA
Oncorhynchus keta (chum salmon) is the source of this 1065-nucleotide RNA transcript. It is a transcript of the gene named UDP-GlcNAc:betaGal beta-1,3-N-acetylglucosaminyltransferase-like protein 1, with no coding region annotated. The transcript has 11 exons. The record is from RefSeq and is a predicted model, not a curated record. NCBI's taxonomy places the organism in Eukaryota, Metazoa, Chordata, Actinopteri, Salmoniformes, Salmonidae.